UCAUAACACAUAGUAUUCAUUGCAUAUUAAGAUAAUCUAAAUAACCCAUAUAAAAUGUUUACAGGAAAGAUAUUACAGCAAGCCUAAAACCAUCUAUACUGGGUCAACCUACUCUGAAUAGAAUCAAUCAGGUUAAAGUGACACUGACAAACUGGAUUCCAUACGAUGCAGAAUAAGGCUUGGAGAUGGAGAGUACAAUUUGGUGAACUCCGUCCAGCGAAAAAGCUUAGACAAGGAUUGCAUUUUGUAGCACCUCAGUCGUGAUUCUUCAUCUAAUUAACACGUGUAGUAUUGAUUAUUAUGUGCCAAAUUUUUCUAGUAAAAUUCGGUAAUAUAGAUAUAACAUGACAUUUAAUAAAGUAAAAAGUUUAUUUCA
Anthonomus grandis grandis is the source of this 376-nucleotide long non-coding RNA. RefSeq lists it as uncharacterized. NCBI's taxonomy places the organism in Eukaryota, Metazoa, Arthropoda, Insecta, Coleoptera, Curculionidae. The transcript is spliced from 2 exons. The record is from RefSeq and is a predicted model, not a curated record.